Molecule: ribosomal RNA, 249 nt
Filed under: uncultured Listeria sp.
Lineage: Bacteria; Bacillati; Bacillota; Bacilli; Caryophanales; Listeriaceae
Description: partial 16S ribosomal RNA
Rfam family: Bacterial small subunit ribosomal RNA
Source: RNAcentral
CCAGCAGCCGCGGUAAUACGUAGGUGGCAAGCGUUGUCCGGAUUUAUUGGGCGUAAAGCGCGCGCAGGCGGUCUUUUAAGUCUGAUGUGAAAGCCCCCGGCUUAACCGGGGAGGGUCAUUGGAAACUGGAAGACUGGAGUGCAGAAGAGGAGGUGGAAUUCCACGUGUAGCGGUGAAAUGCGUAGAUAUGUGGAGGAACACCAGUGGCGAAGGCGACUCUCUGGUCUGUAACUGACGCUGAGGCGCGAA